UUUCGAACCUGGCGGCGUGCCUAAUCAUGCCAGUCGAGCGGAGUUUUCCUUCGGGGAUAGCUUAGCGGCGGACGGGUGAGUAACACGUAGGCAACCUGCCUGCAAGACCGGGAUAACAUUCGGAAACGAAUGCUAAUACCGGAUACGCAGUCUCCUCGCAUGGGGAGGCUGGGAAAGACGGCGCAAGCUGUCACUUGCAGAUGGGCCUGCGGUGCAUUAGCUAGUUGGUGGGGUAACGGCUCACCAAGGCGACGAUGCAUAGCCGACCUGAGAGGGUGAUCGGCCACACUGGGACUGAGACACGGCCCAGACUCCUACGGGAGGCAGCAGUAGGGAAUCUUCCGCAAUGGACGAAAGUCUGACGGAGCAACGCCGCGUGAGUGAUGAAGGUUUUCGGAUCGUAAAGCUCUGUUGCCAGGGAAGAACAGCCAGGCGAGUAACUGCGCUUGGAAUGACGGUACCUGAGAAGAAAGCCCCGGCUAACUACGUGCCAGCAGCCGCGGUAAUACGUAGGGGGCAAGCGUUGUCCGGAAU
Molecule: ribosomal RNA, 534 nt
Filed under: uncultured bacterium
Lineage: Bacteria
Description: bacterial SSU rRNA
Rfam family: Bacterial small subunit ribosomal RNA
Source: RNAcentral